GACGUAGGGUGCGAGCGUUGUCCGGAUUUAUUGGGCGUAAAGAGCGUGUAGGCGGCCUGGUAGGUCAGCUGUGAAAACUCGAGGCUCAACCUCGAGACGCCGGUUGAAACCAUCAGGCUAGAGUCCGGAAGAGGAGAGUGGAAUUCCCGGUGUAGCGGUGAAAUGCGCAGAUAUCGGGAAGAACACCCGUGGCUAAGGCGGCUCUCUAGUACGGUACUGACGCUGAGACGCGAAAGCGUGGGGAGCGAACAGG
Molecule: ribosomal RNA, 253 nt
Filed under: uncultured bacterium
Lineage: Bacteria
Description: partial 16S ribosomal RNA
Rfam family: Bacterial small subunit ribosomal RNA
Source: RNAcentral